Long non-coding RNA from Hemicordylus capensis (graceful crag lizard), 2102 nucleotides. RefSeq lists it as uncharacterized. The record is from RefSeq and is a predicted model, not a curated record. NCBI's taxonomy places the organism in Eukaryota, Metazoa, Chordata, Lepidosauria, Squamata, Cordylidae. The transcript is spliced from 6 exons.
AGAAGAAGAAGCAUGAAAAAGCCGCGGAGUGGAGGAAGAAAAAAGGUGCAGGAAGAUGCAGCUGGUGGAGGGGGAAAAAUGCUCAAAAGCCUCGCAAAGAGUUGUCGGAAGGGACCGUUAUUCCUGCUGGGCAGGAGAGAGAGGAGAGAGGACCCUGAAACACACGCCACCUAUCUUUGUGGGGAGGGAUAAUUGAAGAGCACCAAACGAGAUGGGCAGACAGACAGAGAAGACAAAGAUUUAUAAAGAUGGGAAAACAGAAGUCAUGCCUAUGUAAUCUUCCAUCUGUAAAGUGAAAAGAUCCGUGGCCUAUUCCACUGGCUUAAUGCAAGGACAAAAACAAUAAAGACUGUACAGCACGGUGCACAUUCAGCAUGUUUCAAAGAUUUCACUGAACAGAUGACAUGAGUGGCAGAAAUUGAGAGAGUGCAGCGUAUGCAGCCUAACAUUCAGCAAGCCUGCAGGAAAGCAGCAUGCUCUGCCUCAGGAGGUGAUGACAGCUUCUGAGCCAUGAUCCAGCCGCAGUGAAAGGCACAGCAGCAAGUUAAGAAGUUGGCAGUCCUACGAUACAACCUGGAGAGAUGAGCAUGGAGCUGUUUCUUGCAGCAGAAGUUGCGUGUGUGUGUGUUGACCAGGCAGUCCUUGUUGGUAGAAAAGGACUAUUAAAAGUACACAUCUGUGUCCAAAUUUUUACCCGCGAAGUGUUGGAGAGUAUGGAAACAAUCUGAAAAUAGGUGUGCUGAAUGGUACGAACCUGGAAGUUUGUUUUAUGUGUGUAAGAAAUAUGCACAUUUUAAUCCUACUGUCUCAUUCCUUUCCCAGGUUGCUGUCUCUCAAAUGAAAGCUAUGCAUGUUAGUGAUAAUCUUAUUACCAUAUGAUUCUUUGACAAAAGUAUCUAGUAUGUAAAGAUGUACUGGACAUACAAAUGUGUGAGACCUAAAAUGGCAAGAAUGCAAACAUUUGUGAGAUGUAUUACCUUUGGAAGGGCUUUACCCAGAAAGGGAGAAUUGAAACAGGAACAUUUCUCACUAAUUCUUCAUACCAAGGAAUAAUGAAAUAGAAAUGCCCUGGUUCCUGUUUUCUCUGUGAGCCAAAUCACUGAGCGUUUAUCAGAGUGUGUAUACCUGCUCCAAUUAAAUUAUUUUUCCAUGAAAGCUAGCUUUAUGGUAGUCUUGUGAGACACUUAAUGCACUUUCUCUUAAUUUCUAGGUAAUGUGGUGCUGACAAUCACUUAAGACAAUAAAGCUUAUAAGGUUGGUUUUUUAAAAAAAAAACAAUGGAAGAAUGUUUUUGUAGAAUAUCCUGAUGACACUUUUCUCAGAUGGAUGUCUUUCGCUGAAUUUGAUUAAUGUAAUGCAAUAAAAGAGAUGCACACUAAAGUGUCUGAACAUGUCUUGUUAAGUAUGUUUGAUUCAUUAUAUGUAGUUCUUAGUUCCUUUCUCUUUCUUCAGUUCAUUUUUUAACAUUUCAAUAAUAUAUCUAUAAAUAUGAAAAAGUUGGCACUUUCCAAGUCCCUGACAUAUAUGGCUACUAAUUCAUGGCUCUAAAAAAUUGUAUCUUUCAACAUGUCAUUUUAAAUGUUGUACAUUUUAUUGCUGUAAGUAACCUGUGUUAGAAAUUAAAUGUUGAACUUUAGCAAGGAAAUAAAUAAAAUGGUUGACAGAGAGGCUGUACUGAAGGUACCUGGAUGUAGUGCUAUGAUAAAAUUGCUGCCCUUCUCCCACCCUGAAAUGACUGUCUGAUUCUUGAGGCAUGUCACUUGCUGUUGCUCCACUUGCAUACAAAGUAAAUGAGAUGCUACUGUAAAUUUAAGAGAACGUCUUCUUCACUAAUGAGGCCUAGGGCCCAUUGAGAUCAUCUGGAGAGGUUCGUCUGCAGUUGCCACCAGCUUGUCUGGUGGCUUCACAGGGACAGGCCUUCUCCAUUGCCACCCCGAAACUGGAAUGCACUUCCUGCAGAAAUAAGAGCCUCCCCAUCUCUGACAACUUUUAAGAAGUCUCUAAAGACACAUUUAUUCACCCAAGCUUUUUAACGAGACUUGUGGUUUUAAAUUGUUUUAAGGUUUUAAUUUCUGUUUUUAAUUUGUUUUAUGUUGCUGUAA